This is a long non-coding RNA of Herpailurus yagouaroundi (jaguarundi), 549 nucleotides long. RefSeq lists it as uncharacterized. The record is from RefSeq and is a predicted model, not a curated record. The transcript has 3 exons. Lineage: Eukaryota; Metazoa; Chordata; Mammalia; Carnivora; Felidae.
UGCAGCAGAGUGGGGCCUGCCACUGAUCCCCGCUCCACUUUCCAGCUGUGCAACCUUAGGCACCUACUGCCUCUCUGAACCAAAGUCUUCUCAUCUGCAAAAUGAGAGAACGCCGUCUACUUCGUGGGAUUGCUGUGGGAGUUCACUGAGAUAACGCUUAGCAUCCUGGGGGGGCGGGGGGGGGGUGUAAACGGCGGAGGGCAGAGCAACAGUCCUAAUGACAGAGGACGAAAACAAGGCCCCUUGAAGGUCCGGGGAGGCGGCCGGCAAGCACCCGAGGAGGGGCCGUCCGCCCUCAAACCCUCCGGAGAAAAAACGCAUGCCAGGGCCCAGACCCUGGGGAAAUAAGUCAGCGCCCCGAGACGCCACGCUCGUGCUUUCAACCCUGGGUCAGGCCCCGCAGAAAUAAAGGAGAUGGCGGCCCCCGUUCCGGAGAAACAACGAGCCCCCAGGGCUCCAAGUGGGGCACCGGGGCCCCAGAGGACACCCCCUGAGCGCCGGCCGGAGGAGGGGAGAGGACGGCGGCGGCCGCUCACCUGGCAGCGGCGU